UACGAAGGGGGCUAGCGUUGUUCGGAAUCACUGGGCGUAAAGGGCGCGUAGGCGGCUUUGUAAGUCGGGGGUGAAAGCCUGUGGCUCAACCACAGAAUUGCCUUCGAUACUGCAUGGCUUGAGACCGGAAGAGGUAAGUGGAACUGCGAGUGUAGAGGUGAAAUUCGUAGAUAUUCGCAAGAACACCAGUGGCGAAGGCGGCUUACUGGUCCGGAUCUGACGCUGAGGCGCGAAAGCGCGGGGAGCAAACAGG
Molecule: ribosomal RNA, 253 nt
Filed under: uncultured bacterium
Lineage: Bacteria
Description: partial 16S ribosomal RNA
Rfam family: Bacterial small subunit ribosomal RNA
Source: RNAcentral